AAGAGGAGAAAACUUCCGCCAGGCAGUUCCUGCCAAGGCAACGUGCUCCAGACGGUGCUGGGGCGUGUCCUGCUCAGGGGCUCACAUUUCAGUUCUGAGGGAACCCGUGAGAGAAGGCAGGUCCUGAUGUUGCAGGCUUGCAGGGUUCUUGUCUCAUGGAGCUGAAGAAGGAACCUCAUGGACACAAGAGGGUGAAGUGAAGUGAAAGUUAUAUUAAGUGAAGAAAUAGAUACCAAGAUGGAGUUUGAUGUGUAUGGUGUUUAUUGGAGAUAAUCUGUGGAAAGGAGGUGAAGGAAGUGGGAUUUCUUCAUGGGAAAGAUCCAAUUACCAUGCAGGCCAACAAUAGGAACCCUUUGGAGAGCUCUGGAGAAGAAAUGGCCUGUCAGAGUGCUCCCAUGUUGGGCUGAAAUGGCUGGGCCUUUGUCUCCUACCACUACCAGUCAAUGGAUAUGGGUCCCCCAGGAAGAGCAUGUUCUUGGGCAAGUCAGCUCUCUGCCACUGAGGCAAGAAGCAGCUGGUGAUUGUCUUUCCUUGAAAGGGUUGCAGGCACUGUGUCUCCAUGUCCACCACACAAAGAUAUCUAUAUACUUGCAGAUCAAUUGGGAGAAAUAUUCAUAACACAAUAAUAGGCAGAAAGUCACCAAGUCUGGGUAAUUAUGAAUUAAGUUCCUAUAAACAUCUAUGUGUAGGUUUUUAUGUAGAAAUAAGUUUUCAACUCCUUGAGUCAACACCAAGCAGUGCUGUUGCUGAAUCAUAGCGUAGGGGUCUGUUUAGUUUUGUAAGAAAUCCCAAACUGUUUUCCAAAGUGGUUGUGUCAUUUUGCAUUCCCACCAGCACUGAAUGAGAGUUCCAGUUUCUCCACAUCUUCACCAGCAUUUGGCCUUAUCAGUGGCCUGGAUCUGAGCCAUUCUAAUAGGUGAGGGGUAGCUUAAGUAAUUUCAAAUUAAUUUUUUAUGAAGCUCUCUGCUCACAUAUUUGAAAGAAGUCUUAAUUAUGAGUUUUGAAUAAUGAAGGACAGAGGAAAUGAAACUGUUUCAAUAGAACCCAUUUCUGAGUAACACUGCUAGGUCUAUCUUUGACCAAAAUUCGUCAAAGAUUCAUGUUUCCAGGGCACCUGGGUGGCUCAGAUGGUUGGGCGUCUGCCUUCGGCUCAGGUCAUGAUCCCGGGGUCCUGGGAUCGAGUCCCACAUCGGGCUCCCUGCUCGGCGGGGAGCCUGCUUCUCCCUCUGCCUCACUCUCUCUCUGUCUCUUAUGAAUAAAUA
This is a long non-coding RNA of Mirounga angustirostris (Northern elephant seal), 1262 nucleotides long. RefSeq lists it as uncharacterized. The record is from RefSeq and is a predicted model, not a curated record. The transcript has 3 exons. Lineage: Eukaryota; Metazoa; Chordata; Mammalia; Carnivora; Phocidae.